Ceratina calcarata is the source of this 2102-nucleotide long non-coding RNA. RefSeq lists it as uncharacterized. NCBI's taxonomy places the organism in Eukaryota, Metazoa, Arthropoda, Insecta, Hymenoptera, Apidae. The transcript has 3 exons. The record is from RefSeq and is a predicted model, not a curated record.
CGUUUAGUGUGAAGGAAACGAAGUCGUUAGAAAGCAGGAUACUGGCUACGCUGAUCGCGAGAAAGUGAUGUCAGCCAUUAUCUGCAAAUUAAAACGGGGAAUUGACAGAUUUUCUUAGCCAGAGGCUGACGUUUUCCUGUAUUCAAGAAUGAGGAGGAACGUAACGAUUCACGGUCUCGUUCCUUCUGCAAUUUCAGUCAUCCUGCUGACGCACCGUUGCCUCGUUGGUCGAGGACGCGACGAGUCGCGUUCACCGUGAAAUUUUUUCCACGUAUGCAUCAAACGAGAGACGCGACUUAAUCGAGUUUAAUUGUCGAUUGCGCUGGCAAACUGAGAAGAAGCUGCAUACGCUCUCGCGUAUUUUAAAAAGAAAGAAAAGAAAACGGACGCUAUAUACGUGAACUGUGCGUUUAUUCACUCUGACCGGCAUCUACACGCGCGCGUAAAUACAAAUUGAAACAGAAAUUGCAGUAGAAAAUUUAUUAAUUUUUUUUUUAGUUCCUUUUCUUAUUUCUUUAAAAGAGAAUUCCAAGUCUUUAGUUAUAGUUGUUACAGCUGACAGGAUUCGUAGACACGUAUCUGUUGAAUGCGAAACUACAGUAUGUAUCUACAUACAGGCAGUGCUGCGAACUUACGUAAUUUCGCCUGCCAUAAGUCACGCUUUUCUUUCGUCGAAAAUACUGGGUUUCCGAGAAAUCUGUGUCGUUUCAUUCUCUACUUAAAUACUUUCAACCAUAUCGAUUGUAUUAUGUAAACAUUGAUUUAUCUAACGAUAAGUAGCUACAUACUAAGUAGCGCUUGAAAGUAUUCUUAAUAAUGCGUGCAAUUCUACACACUUAACAAGCAUAUUUAGGAAACAAGUACUCUGAUUUUUAUCGUUGGAUCUAAUUACCUCAACAAAUAAGGACAGACACGGGAGACGAUAAGUCUGCGAUUUCACCCGGAUAUUAUUUUCUUAAUACGAUGAAUGUUUUGCUGGGGAUUUACUGGAUAAGAAAUGAAGAUGCUAAACAAUUGUUUCGUUCUCCACUCGCAAGAAAGACCGAGCCUACAAUAGUCGUCUUCAUAAGAGCACGUGUUGACCGAAAUGAAACGUAUGUUAACGAUUACGUAUUCACCGCACAGUUAAUUAUUUAAUCAAGAUGCCCAACGCUGUGUCGCGGAGCCUAGUUGAAUCUCCAGGUGAGAUGUUAUAGUAUCUUAUCGAUUAACCGCAAAACUAUAAGAGGGUAGUUUUUCUCACGGCCGAUGAUGGGAAAUGAUGAUGGUAAUAAUGUGAAUGCAGUUACAUUUUGAAUUAAGGAAGAAUGUGCCUUUCUUUGAACAAGCAACGACGUCGCCAGUAUUACGCUGUUAAUCAAUUUACGAAUCGCGAUAUGCAAGAUCAAUUCCGGUGAAGAAUGACGAAAAACGACAAUAAAUUGCAACCUUAGAUUUUGAUCUCCAUUGACACGAGGUUUAUUUUAUUUAGAAACAAAUGCGAAAUAAAUUGCGGUAAUUACGAUUCGUCCUUGUCUUAAAGCAAUGCACAAUAAUGUGACGCACACGUGUGCAUUUCAUUCACAAUGUUUCGAUCGAAAUCGUUCGUUGCUUAUCACGCGAUCGGAAAAACUACCGAUAAAUCUAGUAAUUCCGUUUAAACAUAUGAUAGAACUUCACGUCAGCGGCACACAAUGGAUUUAUACUAUCAACGAAUUGCAACAAACAUCAAACGCGUGAAAAUACGAUUUAUCUGUGGACUUUUCCUGUACGUUAAUGAACAUUUACAGAUUCGAUUCGUGAUAAACUUUUAGUAUAGGUUUAUCGCGACGCACGAUGGAUACAAACGAUGAUGAAGUUUGUAUAUGUAUAGAAGGCUCAUGACAAAAGAUUUAUAAUGUGCAGUGAAAUUUGAUAUCUUUGGGAACGAUAAUGCAUUCAAUUUCAUUAUAAACGCGGUCAGAAAAAUUAUAUUCGAUGAAAUAUCUACUAGAAGCGAUGACAGGUGCAGGAUAAACAAAUAUUGGCAUCUAUUUGUUGUGUACAUAAUGUAUGUACGUAUAUGUGUGCACUUGCAAUUUGCAUUUAUCGUAAAUAAGAUUUUUUAAAAUCCUUCACUGAUG